GACGAACGCUGGCGGCGUGCUUAACACAUGCAAGUCGAACGGAAAGGCCCUGCUUUUGUGGGGUGCUCGAGUGGCGAACGGGUGAGUAACACGUGAGUAACCUGCCCUUGACUUUGGGAUAACUUCAGGAAACUGGGGCUAAUACCGGAUAGGAGCUCCUGCUGCAUGGUGGGGGUUGGAAAGUUUCGGCGGUUGGGGAUGGACUCGCGGCUUAUCAGCUUGUUGGUGGGGUAGUGGCUUACCAAGGCUUUGACGGGUAGCCGGCCUGAGAGGGUGACCGGCCACUGGGACUGAGAUACGGCCCAGACUCCUACGGGAGGCAGCAGUGGGGAAUAUUGCACAAUGGGCGGAAGCCUGAUGCAGCAACGCCGCGUGCGGGAUGACGGCCUUCGGGUUGUAAACCGCUUUCGCCUGUGACGAAGCGUGAGUGACGGUAAUGGGUAAAGAAGCACCGGCUAACUACGUGCCAGCAGCCGCGGUGAUACGUAGGGUGCGAGCGUUGUCCGGAUCUAUUGGGCGUAAAGGGCUCGUAGGUGGUUGAUCGCGUCGGAAGUGUAAUCUUGGGGCUUAACCCUGAGCGUGCUUUCGAUACGGGUUGACUUGAGGAAGGUAGGGGAGAAUGGAAUUCCUGGUGGAGCGGUGGAAUGCGCAGAUAUCAGGAGGAACACCAGUGGCGAAGGCGGUUCUCUGGGCCUUUCCUGACGCUGAGGAGCGAAAGCGUGGGGAGCGAACAGGCUUAGAUACCCUGGUAGUCCACGCUGUAAACGGUGGGUACUAGGUGUGGGGUCCAUUCCACGGGUUCCGUGCCGUAGCUAACGCUUUAAGUACCCCGCCUGGGGAGUACGGCCGCAAGGCUAAAACCCAAAGGAAUUGACGGGGCCCCGCACAAGCGGCGGAGCAUGCGGAUUAAUUCGAUGCAACGCGUAGAACCUUACCUGGGUUUGACAUGGAUCGGGAGUGCUCAGAGAUGGGUGUGCCUCUUUUGGGGUCGGUUCACAGGUGGUGCAUGGCUGUCGUCAGCUCGUGUCGUGAGAUGUUGGGUUAAGUCCCGCAACGAGCGCAACCCUUGUUCACUGUUGCCAGCACGUUAUGGUGGGGACUCAGUGGAGACCGCCGGGGUCAACUCGGAGGAAGGUGGGGAUGACGUCAAGUCAUCAUGCCCCUUAUGUCCAGGGCUUCACGCAUGCUACAAUGGCUGGUACAGAGAGUGGCGAGCCUGUGAGGGUGAGCGAAUCUCGGAAAGCCGGUCUCAGUUCGGAUUGGGGUCUGCAACUCGACCUCAUGAAGUCGGAGUCGCUAGUAAUCGCAGAUCAGCAACGCUGCGGUGAAUACGUUCCCGGGGCU
Molecule: ribosomal RNA, 1344 nt
Filed under: uncultured bacterium
Lineage: Bacteria
Description: partial 16S ribosomal RNA
Rfam family: Bacterial small subunit ribosomal RNA
Source: RNAcentral